Molecule: ribosomal RNA, 433 nt
Filed under: uncultured bacterium
Lineage: Bacteria
Description: partial 16S ribosomal RNA
Rfam family: Bacterial small subunit ribosomal RNA
Source: RNAcentral
AACGAACGCUGGCGGCAUGCCUAACACAUGCAAGUCGAACGAGACCUUCGGGUCUAGUGGCGCACGGGUGCGUAACGCGUGGGAACCUGCCCUUAGGCUCGGAAUAACUCCCUGUAAGGGGUGCUAAUACAGGAUAAUGUCCUCUGACACCAGAUUCAUCGCCUUUGGAUGGGCGCGCGUUGGAUUAGCUGGUUGGUAGGGUAAAAGCCUACCACGGCGUCGAUCCAUAGCUGGUCUGAGAGGAUGAUCAGCCACACUUGGACUAGGACACGGCCCAGACUCCUACGGGAUGCGGCAGUGGGGAAUAUUGGACAAUCGGCGGAGGGCUGAACCAGCAAGGCCGGGUGAGUGAUGAAGGCCUGAGAGUAGUAAAGCUCGUUUACCCGGGAUGAUAAUGACGGUACCGGGAGAAUAAGCACCGGCUAACUCCGUG